Molecule: ribosomal RNA, 445 nt
Filed under: uncultured bacterium
Lineage: Bacteria
Description: bacterial SSU rRNA
Rfam family: Bacterial small subunit ribosomal RNA
Source: RNAcentral
GUGAGGAAUAUUGCGCAAUGGAGGCAACUCUGACGCAGCCAUGCCGCGUGCAGGAAGAAGGCGCUACGCGUUGUAAACUGCUUUUAACCGGGAAGAAACCCCAGGACGUGUCCUGGGUUGACGGUACCGGAGGAAUAAGCACCGGCUAACUUCGUGCCAGCAGCCGCGGUAAUACGAAGGGUGCAAGCGUUAUCCGGAUUCAUUGGGUUUAAAGGGUGCGUAGGAGGAGCGUUAAGUCAGUGGUGAAAUCCUGCAGCUUAACUGUAGACUUGCCAUUGAUACUGGCGCGCUUGAGUGCGCUUGAAGUGGGCGGAAUGUGCCGUGUAGCGGUGAAAUGCUUAGAUAUGGCACAGAACACCAAUUGCGAAGGCAGCUCACUAAGGCGAUACUGACGCUGAGGCACGAAAGCGUGGGGAUCGAACAGGAUUAGAUACCCUGGUAGUCC